UGGGGAAUAUUGCACAAUGGGCGCAAGCCUGAUGCAGCCAUGCCGCGGGUGUGAAGAAGGCCUUCGGGUUGUAAAGCACUUUCAGCGGGGAGGAAGGCGGUGAGGUUAAUAACCUCAUCGAUUGACGUUACCCGCAGAAGAAGCACCGGCUAACUCCGUGCCAGCAGCCGCGGUAAUACGGAGGGUGCAAGCGUUAAUCGGAAUUACUGGGCGUAAAGCGCACGCAGGCGGUCUGUCAAGUCGGAUGUGAAAUCCCCGGGCUCAACCUGGGAACUGCAUUCGAAACUGGUAGGCUAGAGUCUUGUAGGGGGGGGUAGAAUUCCAGGUGUAGCGGUGAAAUGCGUAGAGAUCUGGAGGAAUACCGGUGGCGAAGGCGGCCCCCUGGACAAAGUCUGACGCUCAGGUGCGAAAGCGUGGGGAGCAAACAGG
This 429-nucleotide ribosomal RNA is filed under the name Chloroflexota bacterium. RNAcentral's name for it is "Chloroflexi bacterium partial 16S ribosomal RNA". It matches the Rfam family "Bacterial small subunit ribosomal RNA", at positions 355 to 776 of the family's 1533-position model. Lineage: Bacteria; Bacillati; Chloroflexota. The record is from RNAcentral.